UAGAGACAGGUCAGGUUAGGUUGACGCACACAGCACAGAGCGCAGGAGUAAACACAGGUGCUAAUGUUUAUAGGAGCGAGAUAGAAGAGAAAAUGACAGAAAAUGUUAAUGAAAACUCGAGCAACAGCGUUACUGAAGAAGACGCCCCAGCGGGCACAGCCCUGAAUGACAGAGGACUGACAGAGAAUCAGAGCGGGACUUACCGGAGCGGGAUCCCGUCUCCUCCCAGUCUGAUCACAGUCCUGAACCCGCUCCGCUCCGGGUCCCGGUCCGCAGAGAGCCGCCGGUCUGCUCCGGUGAACCCGCUGGGAACUCUCCGCUAGUCCCAAUGAGUCCGGUGGACGUGAAGCUCCGGUUCAGCCUCUGCUGCUGCUCCACCAAUCAGCGGAGCACCGAGGACCUGUCUACCUCCCUCUCUCUGCCUGUCUCUCUCUCUCUAAUUAAAACAUGCACAUUAACAUUCCGCUGUGUGUUUGUCUAUCUCUGUGAGGACAUGUUGGCCGGUCUACACUGAUUCAGUGUGUGUGUGUGUGUGUGUGUGUGUGUGUGUGUGUGUUUGACUUCAGUCAGAGUGGAUCAUCUCAGUCAGAGAUCUCUGAGCAGGUGUCCUCUGCUGGUUACUGCCUGUCUGUCUUUCUACCUGUCCAGGUGUGAGACAGGUGUUCAGUGUUUACAGCUGAUGUUUAAACUCACUUUGAUCUUCUCUCUCUCUCUCUGUUGACAACAGAACUUGUUACCGUGGGAACAGCAGUUUGUAAAUAUUCACUGAGUCCUAAACAAUAAACAAGUUGACAUGUUAAGUCAAUAAAUCAAUAAGUCAAUUAAUCAAUAAAUCGAUACGUCAAUAAGUCACUAGCCUGAGAAGCUGAGCGUCUGUGAGCUUCUGCUGUUUGACAGUGAAACGACAGGAAACAUUAAAACAUCUGAAGCACAGAAACACGAGACUGACGAGUCCCUGACCUGUGGAUGACCUGAUGAUGACCCAGCUCUGACAUGUCACUGACGCUGAGAACCUGAACAGGUGCAUUCGAAAUCAGCUGCUGCUCACCGCUGGGAAACGACUGCAGCAAAGUCAGACACACUUCCUGCAGCUGUUCUCAUCAUUCAUCAAAUAUAUUGAUCUCACUGAGGAAAACCUGUUCAGCUGUUCUGUGGUUUUUAUUUCAAAAUCUGACACUCACACAGAUCUGUUGGUCUGAACUUUUCAGGACAGAAAAGUAUGAGGAACAAAAAUAAACAUCCAGGGUGAUGUGUUCAGGUGUAGGAUGUGUUCAAUUGUACGGUGUGUUCAGAUGUAUGGUGUGUUCAGGUGUGUGAUGUGUUCAGGUGUACGGUGUGUUCAGGUGUACGAUGUGUUCAGGUGUAGGAUGUGUUCAGGUGUGUGAUGUGUUCAGGUGUACGGUGUGUUCAGGUGUACGAUGUGUUCAGGUGUAGGAUGUGUUCAGGUGUGUGAUGUGUUAAGGUGUGUGAUGUGUUCAGGUGUACGAUGUGUUAAGGUGUGUGAUGUGUUCAGGUGUACGAUGUGUUAAGGUGUGUGAUGUGUUCAGGUGUACGGUGUGUUGUGUUUGGGGGAAAAGUGUGGGUUACAUCACUUUUAUUUCUGUUCCAUUCAGACUCACACUCAUCAGGUGAAACAUGAAGGAUAAAAAUCUGAACUCUCAGGUCUUU
This is a long non-coding RNA of Lates calcarifer (barramundi perch), 1668 nucleotides long. RefSeq lists it as uncharacterized. NCBI's taxonomy places the organism in Eukaryota, Metazoa, Chordata, Actinopteri, Centropomidae. The record is from RefSeq and is a predicted model, not a curated record. The transcript has 3 exons.